Non-coding RNA from Anas platyrhynchos (mallard), 1741 nucleotides. The record is from RefSeq and is a predicted model, not a curated record. NCBI's taxonomy places the organism in Eukaryota, Metazoa, Chordata, Aves, Anseriformes, Anatidae.
ACUGGGCCACUGGCCCUUGUAUGAAACCCACCAAUGUGAAUCAAUGAAAGAAAUGAUCUCUGGAGUACCAUGUGAACUAAAGCAGGUUGUUGCCUAAAGGGAUAUAGAAUUUAUGGGAUGAAGGCUUAAAGAGUGCUUGGGGAUUGUGUGAAAGUUAUUAUGAGAUGACUUAAGGGGAAGUCAUCAAAGUUUAGGGGAAGGAUCAAAGUAGACAAGAGAAGAUCAAGAAUGGGAAAAUGGAAGGCAGUUAAGAGGUGCUGGUGAUACGCAGCGGGGAUACUGAAUGGCCAAGGUUGGAAGGGACCCCUGAAGAUCAUCUAGUUCAACCCCUCUGCUGAGCAGGAUCACCUAGAGCACACUGCACAGGAUGGCAUCUAGGUCACUGAUAAGUAGGUUGAACAACACUGGACCCAGUACUGACCCCUGGGGGACACCUCUAGCUACAGGCCUCCAACUCUCCAACUAGACUGCACCACUGAGUACAAGCCUCUGAACUCUGCCAUCCAGCCAAUUACCAAUUCACCUCACCGUCCACUCAUCUAGCCUGCAAUUCCUGAGCUUGUCUAUGAGGAUGUUAUGGCGGACAUUGUCAAAAGCCUUUCUGAAGUCAAGGUAGACCACAUUACUGCUCUCCCCUCAUCUACCCAGCUAAUCAUCUCAUCAUAGUAGGCUAUCUGAUUGGUUAAGAAUGAUUUCCCCUUGGUGAAUACGUGAUGACUACUCCUUAUCACCUUCUUACCCUCCACAUACUUGGAGAUGACCUUCACGAUGAGAUGUUCUAUCACCUUUCCAAGGAUGGAGGUGAGGCUGACUGGUCUGUAGUUGCCUGUAUCCUCAUUCUUGGAAACUGAAGACAGUCUUUGAGUUGAAGACAAUCCUUGCCCCAUAGAUCAAAAUGGACUCUAAAUAGACUCACAUCUUCCUCUGUUCCUCAGCUUGUUCUGUACAUGUGAAUGUUAAAAGCCAAAACUUGUUUUUGAACUUAAUAAACAUUGAGUGACUUACUCUGUGAAACACAGAACUCUCAAAUUGUACAUUAGUUUAUUUCACAGGUAUUUACAUGGUAAUUGGCAUUGUAUAAUGCAUGGAAAAUCAAUUCACUUAAUUGAAAUCUAGUUUUCAGUAUGGCUAUGACAUAUAUUUUAUUAUUAAAAUAAUUUUCUAAUGUCAUUUGUGUAUUUAUGCAAGAGAUGUUGUUACAGAAGUAAUUUGAGUUUCUGUAUUGAAAUGGAACUUAUGUCUUUGUGGUAUCCUUCAUGACUUUUUUCCUCUUGUCCUUGUCUUCCCUCAUGAUGGCACUUAUCCAGUACAGCAAAGGAGAUACAGACCAAAAUUUAAACACUGCAUAAGACAGAUUGUUUCUGUCCCCACAGGCCUUUCCUUUCCUUUCCUCCUCAGAACUGAAUAUAGAGGAGCUAUACAGUGCCUGAACACUGAACGCAUUGCAUGGAUGAUUGACUUUUCUCUGUAUUGGGAUUUCAAAAGUGCAGUAUAAAGACAUAGGUAUAAUGUCAGGCUUCUGUGAUUUUUAUUUAUUUAUUUAUUUAUUGUAUGUUUUAAAAUUAUUCCAAGUGCUAUAAAUCAAGUGCUAAAUGUUCUGAGUAUCUUUUUCUGCAGUUAAAAUUUCCAUCUUUUCAAGUAAAUUAAUCAGUUUGUUUUCCCAGGCUUCUGUGUCAACAUGAAAAUGAACAUGUUUCCUGUACUACUUUUGGCUGGAAUAGAGAUAAUUUUCUUCAUUGUA